This 324-nucleotide ribosomal RNA is filed under the name uncultured Bacillota bacterium. RNAcentral describes it as "bacterial SSU rRNA". It matches the Rfam family "Bacterial small subunit ribosomal RNA", at positions 28 to 351 of the family's 1533-position model. The record is from RNAcentral. Lineage: Bacteria; Bacillati; Bacillota.
GACGAACGCUGGCGGCGUGCCUAACACAUGCAAGUCGAACGAAGCUUGUUUUUCGGAAUAAGCUUAGUGGCGGACGGGUGAGUAACGCGUGAACAAUCUGCCCUGUACAAAGGAAUAGCCUCGGGAAACUGGGAUUAAAACCGUAUAACACUUUUUUAUCGCAUGAUGAAGAAGUCAAAAUGAUUUAGUGGUAUGGGAUGAGUUCGCGUCUGAUUAGCUAGUUGGUAAGGUAAUGGCUUACCAAGGCGACGAUCAGUAGCCGGCCUGAGAGGGUGAACGGCCACACUGGAACUGAGACACGGUCCAGACUCCUACGGGAGGCUG